Molecule: ribosomal RNA, 498 nt
Filed under: uncultured bacterium
Lineage: Bacteria
Description: partial 16S ribosomal RNA
Rfam family: Bacterial small subunit ribosomal RNA
Source: RNAcentral
GAUGAACGCUGGCGGCGUGCCUAAUACAUGCAAGUCGAACGCAUCACUUCGGUGAAGAGUGGCGAACGGGUGAGUAAUACAUAAGUAACCUGGCAUCUACAGGGGGAUAACUGAUGGAAACGUCAGCUAAGACCGCAUAGGUGUAGAGAACGCAUGAACUCUAUAUGAAAAGUGCUACGGGACUGGUAGAUGAAGGACUUAUGGCGCAUUAGCUGGUUGGUAGGGUAACGGCCUACCAAGGCGACGAUGCGUAGCCGACCUGAGAGGGUGACCGGCCACACUGGGACUGAGACACGGCCCAGACUCCUACGGGAGGCAGCAGUAGGGAAUUUUCGGCAAUGGGGGAAACCCUGACCGAGCAACGCCGCGUGAAGGAAGAAGUAAUUCGUUAUGUAAACUUCUGUCAUAGAGGAAGAACGGUGGAUAUAGGGAAUGAUAUCCAAGUGACGGUACUCUAUAAGAAAGCCACGGCUAACUACGUGCCAGCCGCCGCCGUAA